This 175-nucleotide non-coding RNA is filed under the name unclassified sequences. RNAcentral describes it as "malK-I RNA". It matches the Rfam family "malK-I RNA". The record is from RNAcentral.
AUCUGUCCGCUCCGGCACUCCACAUUCUGCCGAGAGCGGGACGAAAAAAGGAGGAGAACCCCGCCUGGCUCGCGGUGCGGCAGUGUGGAGACCUGCCGUAAUGCAUCCGCGCUUCGCGCGCCGAUGUGAGGUCCGGGCAAGCGGAGGCUCCCGGAUCAGAGCCGGUAGCAUGGCA